Molecule: ribosomal RNA, 255 nt
Filed under: uncultured bacterium
Lineage: Bacteria
Description: partial 16S ribosomal RNA
Rfam family: Bacterial small subunit ribosomal RNA
Source: RNAcentral
UACGUAGGGGGCAAGCGUUUGUCCGGAAUUAUUGGGCGUAAAGAGCGUGUAGGCGGUCCGGUAAGUCAGCUGUGAAAGUCAAGGGCUCAACCCUUGAAUGCCGGUUGAUACUGUCGGGCUAGAGUCCGGAAGAGGCGAGUGGAAUUCCCGGUGUAGCGGUGAAAUGCGCAGAUAUCAGGAGGAACACCGGUGGCGAAGGCGGGGUCUCUGGGCCGAUACUGACGCUGAGGAGCGAAAGCGUGGGGAGCGAACAGG